UGGGGAAUAUUGGACAAUGGGCGAAAGCCUGAUCCAGCCAUGCCGCGUGUGUGAAGAAGGUCUUCGGAUUGUAAAGCACUUUAAGUUGGGAGGAAGGGCAGUAAGCGAAUACCUUGCUGUUUUGACGUUACCGACAGAAUAAGCACCGGCUAACUCUGUGCCAGCAGCCGCGGUAAUACAGAGGGUGCAAGCGUUAAUCGGAAUUACUGGGCGUAAAGCGCGCGUAGGUGGUUCGUUAAGUUGAAUGUGAAAGCCCCGGGCUCAACCUGGGAACUGCAUCCAAAACUGGCGAGCUAGAGUAGGGCAGAGGAUGGUGGAAUUUCCUGUGUAGCGGUGAAAUGCGUAGAUAUAGGAAGGAACACCAGUGGCGAAGGCGACCACCUGGGCUCAUACUGACACUGAGGUGCGAAAGCGUGGGGAGCAAACAGG
This 429-nucleotide ribosomal RNA is filed under the name Pseudomonadota bacterium. RNAcentral's name for it is "Proteobacteria bacterium partial 16S ribosomal RNA". It matches the Rfam family "Bacterial small subunit ribosomal RNA", at positions 355 to 776 of the family's 1533-position model. The record is from RNAcentral. Lineage: Bacteria; Pseudomonadati; Pseudomonadota.